RNAcentral lists this ribosomal RNA (1352 nucleotides) under uncultured bacterium. Its description in RNAcentral is "bacterial SSU rRNA". It matches the Rfam family "Bacterial small subunit ribosomal RNA", at positions 28 to 1381 of the family's 1533-position model. The record is from RNAcentral.
AUUGAACGCUGGCGGCAUGCCUUACACAUGCAAGUCGAACGGCAGCACGGAGCUUGCUCUGGUGGCGAGUGGCGAACGGGUGAGUAAUAUAUCGGAACGUACCCUAGAGUGGGGGAUAACGUAGCGAAAGUUACGCUAAUACCGCAUACGAUCUAAGGAUGAAAGUGGGGGAUCGCAAGACCUCAUGCUCGUGGAGCGGCCGAUAUCUGAUUAGCUAGUUGGUAGGGUAAAAGCCUACCAAGGCAUCGAUCAGUAGCUGGUCUGAGAGGACGACCAGCCACACUGGAACUGAGACACGGUCCAGACUCCUACGGGAGGCAGCAGUGGGGAAUUUUGGACAAUGGGCGAAAGCCUGAUCCAGCAAUGCCGCGUGAGUGAAGAAGGCCUUCGGGUUGUAAAGCUCUUUUGUCAGGGAAGAAACGGUGAGAGCUAAUAUCUCUUGCUAAUGACGGUACCUGAAGAAUAAGCACCGGCUAACUACGUGCCAGCAGCCGCGGUAAUACGUAGGGUGCAAGCGUUAAUCGGAAUUACUGGGCGUAAAGCGUGCGCAGGCGGUUUUGUAAGUCUGAUGUGAAAUCCCCGGGCUCAACCUGGGAAUUGCAUUGGAGACUGCAAGGCUAGAAUCUGGCAGAGGGGGGUAGAAUUCCACGUGUAGCAGUGAAAUGCGUAGAUAUGUGGAGGAACACCGAUGGCGAAGGCAGCCCCCUGGGUCAAGAUUGACGCUCAUGCACGAAAGCGUGGGGAGCAAACAGGAUUAGAUACCCUGGUAGUCCACGCCCUAAACGAUGUCUACUAGUUGUCGGGUCUUAAUUGACUUGGUAACGCAGCUAACGCGUGAAGUAGACCGCCUGGGGAGUACGGUCGCAAGAUUAAAACUCAAAGGAAUUGACGGGGACCCGCACAAGCGGUGGAUGAUGUGGAUUAAUUCGAUGCAACGCGAAAAACCUUACCUACCCUUGACAUGGCUGGAAUCCCCGAGAGAUCAGGGAGUGCUCGAAAGAGAACCAGUACACAGGUGCUGCAUGGCUGUCGUCAGCUCGUGUCGUGAGAUGUUGGGUUAAGUCCCGCAACGAGCGCAACCCUUGUCAUUAGUUGCUACGAAAGGGCACUCUAAUGAGACUGCCGGUGACAAACCGGAGGAAGGUGGGGAUGACGUCAAGUCCUCAUGGCCCUUAUGGGUAGGGCUUCACACGUCAUACAAUGGUACAUACAGAGCGCCGCCAACCCGCGAGGGGGAGCUAAUCGCAGAAAGUGUAUCGUAGUCCGGAUUGUAGUCUGCAACUCGACUGCAUGAAGUUGGAAUCGCUAGUAAUCGCGGAUCAGCAUGUCGCGGUGAAUACGUUCCCGGGUCU